AUGAUUUUGAAUUCCGGAAUUACUUACAUUAACAAAAUAUGAUAGAAAUAGACAUUUGCUUUAGAAUGAGCUAAAUACUGAAUUUUUAUAUACACACCCAAGAACUUGCCAGUCAAGAUGAAAAACUUCUUCUAAUGGAAUCCAGCUUGAAAGCAACUCAAGAGCAGCUAAGUGAGCAAACAGCAGAAACAGUUCACCAAGAACAGAACAGUAGAAAAUCACAGACAGAGCUGAAAGAAGAUCCUGAGAGAACGUAUUAUAGCUUCUGAUGAAGAAAUUAGUGAUUACAAAUACAUCUCAGUGUGCACUGUAUGGAGACACCAAAGCAGAAAUACUCGCAUAGAUGACAGAAUGUUCAUCUUGUUUGCAGUUGUCUAAACUCUUACAGAAAAAAUCCUGAUUUCUCUUAAAAAAACAGAAAACUGUGUGGAGAACUUUAAGGUCUGAAAAAUGUGAGUAAUGCCUCCAGAAAAGCUUAAAUGGGAAUCACGCCAAGAAUGUGGGACCAGGAAAGUCAAAUUGUCAGACUGAGACAAAACUUUGUGGAAAUGGAAGAAGAAGUAAAGAACUUAAGACUUACACACAGCAAUGAUGCUCAGAUGAUUGAUAAGAAUCUGAAUACUCUGAGAAAUGAGAUGAACUUGUAUGAAGACACAUAGGAUGGUAGUCAAAUGAGCUGAAGUUUAAAUAUGAACAACACAAUGCAACACUGAGGCCUGCAUGACUGUAAGAAUGUUAGGAUAGAAAAUUGUCUUUGGUAGCAGCAAAGAUUAAAAAAAUAGUAUCACUUAAAUAAAUACAUGUGAAGAAGCCAAAUUUGUAACAAAAAGGAAACCAGUAAAUGAAUUCACAAAAGCCAGCUACUACAUAGCAAAUCUCUGUAUAAAUGGGCUGAGAGUAUGUACCAAGAAGAAGGCAAGUAUCUAUUCUUUUUCAAUGGGAAAAACAAAAAACAAAAAACAAACAAACAAAAAAGCUAUUUCAUCCUUACUUUGGGAAAAAGGCACACAAAACCAAAGCAAAAAAUGCCUCACUGACUGCAUCUGUCCAUUCUGUACUGUAAUUUGUUUCCCGCUAUGAAGAUUUAGGUUAAAUUCAUUUCUAUUAUUAAAGACAAAUAAGCUGCAAAAGAACUAAUUCUCUGUCUCCAUCUUUUACAUGUAUAUUUAUUCAUAUGAAUGCACUUUUGUUCAUUUAUUUUUACUUCUACCUUGACAAAGCUGUGCAAAAAAUAACAUAGUUUGAUUACUCAUAAUUUGCAUUUGUGUAAUUAAUAGGGAUGAAAAGGAUUAAAAUCAAUGGAGAAAUAUUUAUUUGUUUAAAUUGGAUAACUAUGGAAAAACUAUUUGGCAGGAAUGAAAGCUUUUCCAUCUAAAUUACGUCAUAUAAUUUAAACUGUUUUAGUUUUUAAGCUUAAAAAGCAUGAAAAUCACAAAGCAGAACUGGAAGAAGACACAGAAAAAUACUGCCAUGUAAAGGAAGAGCCUUCAGAACAAGGGUCUCAGCUCAAAAUUAGCUAGCUGGUCCAUUCUGGAGUGGGAAAACUGAUAAAAUGCCGCAGUACUCAGGUAAUACCCUUGAUACAAUAUGUGGAAGGGAGACAGUGUUUGAAGUAAUAUCAGUGAAUGUAUCAGAGUACUCUCAGAGAAUUUUUCCAACGGAUAAGGAAAUAUUAUUUAAAUAAUACUAACUGUAAAAUUCACUCAUGAGUGAUUGAGAAAACAUGAGAAAUAUUGUUGAAAAUAUCAAGUCAAUAUAACAGCAGCAUUUCUUCUUUUAAAAGUGUUGUGGGUGGGAUUCACCUUGUUGAACUGGAGGUAGGAAUAUUUGAAAUAGAUGUCUAAGUUCCAUUGCUGUCAUUGGAGACUUAAUCAACUCAGUGAGUGAAAUCAAGGGCUAUCAAUACCUUUCAUUACCCAAAGUGAACCUACAGAAAAGCUGGAGAGUGACUCUUUAUCAGGUAGCAUAGUCAUAGGACAAGGGAUAGUUGCCUUCAACUAAACUAGAUUAGAUAUUAGAAAGAAAUUCUUCACUAUGAGGACAGUGAGAUACUGAAAUAAAUUGUCCAUAGAAACUGUGGAUGCUCCAUCUCUGGGAGCAUUCAAACGUAGGUUGAGUGAAGCCCUUGGCAACUUGAUCUCAUGGAAGGUGACUGUGCUAUGGCAGGGAAUUAGAACUAGAUGAAUUUAAGUUCUCUUCCAAACCAUUUUAUGAUUCUAUGACUAAAUAUUGAUCCAAUCAAUAUUAAGGUUUUCAGAGGAGCUGAAAAUCAAUCCCAGUGACAAUAUUAUUCAUUGUGAUAGAACACAUUCACACACCGUAAUGCAGACAUCCAAAUUUGGGUAAGAAUAAUCAGAUUAGAAAAGUUAGCCUUUUUGCAGCAAUUCAUUAUAUAAUACGGAAUUAUUUUAUUUAUUUUUGUUACUAAUAAGAGUACUAGAUGUUUCACAAGCAUAGAUACUGGUCAAUUAUCUGAGCAAUAUCCAAUAUAUAAAUACACAAAGUUAGAAGGAAAUGAUCAAUGCCAGAGAGAAAUAAAAGUUAAAAUAAUACAUGCUUUUUCUUCUGUGUCUGAGAGAAUGUGAGUAGAUGUGAAAGUUGGAAAACCAAAAGAAUUAGUAGUAUGACAACAUUCCUUUUCUACCCUAGCAUUGUCAAAAGAUAACAAGAUUAAUUCUCUGCUGUAGUAUUUCACUACAGUAGUGUGUUAAUUUGAGGGGCUUGGCUGAGCCUUAUUCAGCAUAUAAUUAGAAUUUACUGAACUUUAAUUUCUUAUCAUCUUUAGGCUGCAUUAUCAAAGUGUUUAUAUUGAAACAUUCAAAUGUUCAGUUAAAAAUAAACUUCAGUUUGUCAAGGAUACAUUGUAUACAAAUUCUGUGGAAAUAUUUGAAUAAAAUUGUUCACUUUUGCUUUGUGAGAAAUGCUUUGCACUUUACAUAUUUAUAACAUAAUGUCAUUAGAGUAUGUAUCUUAGAAAUAUAGCAAUUUCCUGGUGAAUUUAUUGAAUAAAUGCUUAUCUAAUAAGUAAUUUGAGAGUAGAGAAAGAUCUAAUGAAAAGCUAAAUACACAGUGAAAUCCUAAUCAAGCAAUUGAAAUAGUUACUCAUGAUAAAACUAAGAUUAUCAGAGUAUCAGAACACAAAUUACUCCAUUAAUCUUUUGAAUUAGUCAGUUCUUAUUUUCUGAAGCUAAGUAACUUGAGAAGGUACACUCAAGGUUUCAUCUUUCUGAAGACUGUAUUUAUUACCUUUACUUUCAUAAAGAGUUCAUUAGAAAGAAUAUUACAGUGAAAUACGUUAACUUUUUAGCCUGUUUUAAUGAAGUCAUGUGAGUCUUUAAUUAUCUGACAUAAAACUGCUUAGUUUUACGUAGUAUCUACAGAUACUAAUUAGUAUCUACAUAUAUACAUUAGUAUCUACAUCAAUUAGUAUCUACAGAUAUUAACGGAUUCAUAUGUCAUAAAGCCAGAAGAAACGCUGUUAUUGAAUCUUAUAUGUGGCACAAUGCAGGCCACAGGACUUCACUGAAUUGAGUAGUUGUAAGAGAUUAUUCUUUUAUAUGAUUGACUCAAAGUUUGCUGAGGAACAAGUCCAGGCAAGUCCUGGGCAAAGGUACAGAAAUCUUCUGUCUGGAGGACACUGAUGGACAGGUCCUGGCUAAAGGAUUGUGAAGUCCUUUAAGGAGCACAGAUGGACGAGGCCAGGGGCAACGAGAGAGGGAUAAGCUGCUGAUAAUGGCUGAGAAAUGGUCUUUUGUGUGGACUUAUCUAGAAGAAGAUGGCCAUCUCAGGAGCUACGCACAUGACUCUUGCUCAAGCACCCAGGGAUGUCACGUAGGCAGGAAAAAGAGGAGGAUAAAAGAGGGUCUAACAACCAUGAGGAGAGGGUUUCUGCCAUCAGAUCCCUCACCACGACGGACUCAAGGUUUCUGCCAUCAGAUCCUUCACUACGGACCAUAUGCUGAUGGACUUCCCUGGGCCUGCUACCUGAGACCUGCUGCUUCCUCCCAGACUUACUCUGCGGCUUCUUCCUGGACCCACCCGGUACCUGCACCCUCUCGUUGCCCAAGACCGGCCUCGCUGCUCCUGCCCUUCAGCCUCGGACCAUCAGAACAUCGUGCAACAGGACUACUGCUGGUGGUGACUAUCCCCGCUUUAUGCAAUUCUUGCUUCUUUCUAUCUUUUCUAUCGCUCGCCUUCCCUUUCCCAUCACCCCAAUCCAUAAUAGUGUCCGUCCUCCCCUUUCUUCAUCUCCCUUAUUAACAUAUGUAAUAAACUGGUCGGACCAACAUUUGAACCGUUGUUUCUUAAUCUCACGCCGGGCAUACAUAUUUCAAAGAACCUCCUCUCCCUCCUAUAAAUUGGAGUGAGACAGUAGUACAUUAUGUCUAAGUAAAUGUGAUUAAAAUGGAGUAUAUUAAAAUGGAGCAUACAUUUUUAAUACAUUCUUGACUUUAAAUAUACACAAUGUUAGAGAAUUCAUUACGGUCUUUCACAGGUUGCCUCAAUAGUUAGUAAAACAUAUAGCAUGCUGACUGUUCAUCAUUUUAUCAUCUUUCUUGGAAUGUUAUACAAAUCUCAACAUAUAUAAAAAUAGUUUUUAUGUCAUCUUUAUCAAUAACAUUUGAAAUAUCAUAAAACUGAAAGAGCAGAUAGUUUUACAAGAUGUGUUUACAGUAAAUCCACAGUAACUUUGGUUAUUAUAUUAAUGCACAUUUGUUAUAUGUAUCUACAGCUAACACAAAUUACUGUGGAAUUAUGAUAUUAGCUGUCCUGAUAUUUUGCUUGAAAGAGAUAACUACCCUCCUUGAAUUACUUGAAUCACCCUCUUAAAACCUAAGAAAUAUUAGCACAGAAUUAACAGAUAAAUUAACCUGUACUGUUUUGGAAGUUUUUAAGGUUGUCAAGACCAAACACUGUAAAUAUGGCCUAGAAAUUCUUUUCAAAAGCACUUCAAAAGCACUUAGAUAUGUUUUACGUAGACAAUUUGAAAUAUAUUUAUACUUAUGUGAUUGCAGUCACUUUUAUCCUAAGACUAAAAUACCAUACAUUCUUCAGUUAUAAUAGAAUAUUUCACAUGAAGGGUUCUACAGAGAUCAUCAAGUCCAACUGCCUGACAACUUCAGAGGUAACCACAAGUUAAGCGUAUUACUGAGGGCAUUAUCCAAAUGCAUCUCAAGUAAUAUUAGGCAUAGGACAUCAGUCAUCUCAUUGCAGUGAGAUAAAAGCCUGUUCCACUGUUUGAUGAUAAAUAAAUGUCCAGUAUAGUCUGAAACUCCCCUGGCACAGCACAGCUGUGUGCCACUCCUGUGCAACCUGCAAUCAGCACAGAAGAUACCAGGGAGCAGAGACCAGCACCUCCCUCUGUACUUCCUCUCCUCAAGGAGCUGCAGAGAGCAGUAAAGUCAUCUUGUAGACUCCUAUUCUCCAGGCUAGACAGUCCAAGAGUCCUCACCCUUUCCUUACUAGACAUGUCUUCCAUUCUGAUUACCUGCUUUGUUGCCAUUGUCUGGACACUUUUAGAUAUCUUAAUAAUGUUUUUAUGUUGUGGGGCAUACAUUAUUCAAGGUGAGGUUGCACCAACUCCAAAUAUAUCAGGACAAUCACCCCAAAAAGCAGUUUGCCCUUUUGGCAACCAACACUGCUGGUUCAUACUGAGCCUGCUAUCAUCAGCCCUCCUAGAUCAAUUUGUUCUGAGCUGCUCUCCAGCCAUUCAUCUCUCAGUUUGUGUCAUCUCUCAGGUACUGUGCCAGGCAUAGUACCUGACAUUUACCUUUGUUGAACUUCACGCCAUUGUUUCCCCAGUGCUCCAAUCCAUCCACAUUGCUCUACAAGACCUCAGCAACACAACUGACCAUCUACUAGCCAAAUGGGUCUCCAUCACUACAACACUUUGAGUUCUACCAUUGAGCCAGUUUAUCACCCUGCAUAGUGUGAACAUACUUAUCUCACAGUUGGACAAUUUGUACAGAAAGUUGCCAUGAAGGAUCAUAUCAAAGGCUUUACUGAAUUCUAGAAAGAUGACGUACACUGCCUUCCUUCAUCCACCAAGUGGGUAAUCUUAUAAAAAGAAAUCAAAGCAAUGAAGACAGGGCUUUCCCUUCAUGAACCCAUAUUGACUAUGCCUGACAAUGGCUUUGUCCUUCAAGUGCCUUUCAGUAACACUCACUAUAAUCUUCUCCAUAAAUUUUUAGGGUACUGAGUUAGGUUAACAAGUCUGUUACAGAUUUGUUACUUUUGUUACUUUGUUUUCAGUAAGUUCUUUCUCUUUAUUUUUUGUUUGUUUGUUUAUUUUACUUUGUUUUGGGAAGAGGAGAGCUUGUGGUGGGGAGUGGGGUUUUGUCAUCUACGUAGUGCUAUUGAAGAUAAUACUACUUUUUUAUAUUUAAACAUUUGAUCCUCAGAAAGUUUCAUCCUAUUCUUUCAUGUUUACGAGAUUUUUCUCUCUUCAAACACUUUUUUUCUUUGUAUGAACAUUUGCAAAUGAGUGUGUACAUGCAUAUCAAUGACCAUGAGUACAUGGGGCUUAUCUGUUCCUCAAAAAUAUGACUUGGUCAAAAUUACUUUUGCAUAAAGAACAACUGAAUUUCAGCAACGUAAUCCUUUCCUACUCAUAAGUCUUAAAUUAAUGUGCAAAAUUGAAUUAAUCAGCAUAUUUAAUUACAAUUUUUUUGUUAAACUUAUUUAUCUGUGAAGGUGUUAUGUAUAAUUUUUGAAAGUUAAUGGAUACAUUAUUAAGCAAAGAGUAACAGCUCCAACAAACCAGAAUUAUUUAAGUCUCUGAGGAAAACUAAGAUUUCCCUUCUGAUUCAUCUUUAAAAUCCUGUUUUCAACAUCUUUGCAAAGUUAAUUUUAGUUUUUUAAAAGCCAGGUAACUUAAAAUAAUUUUUCUGCCCUUCAUUCCUCUUUUGUUUAUCGUGUUUUUCAGAAUGUUGUUCCAUUAGUGACUUUGAAGUCAGUGAUGUUAGAUCAAAUUAUUCAAAUUACUAGCUUUUGUUGUUGCUGGUGCUGUUUUGUGGGGUUUUUUUCUUUUGUUUUGUUUUGUUUUGAUUUUCCUCUUAUGAAUGUAAUUUACUGGUGUAGUGGUUAUUAGAACAGAACUUCACAGUGUUUGUGUUUUGUCUUAAUUAUAAGUAAUUUUAUAUCACUAAUAUUAUCAGUAAACUUGUUUGUGUAUAUUUUACUCAAUGAAAUGUUAAUGCCAAACUUUGAACAGAAACUGUACUGACUACUUCUAUCUUAAAACAGACAGUACCAGUAGCUGAUUGUUUUACUUUUGUUUCCUUUCAUCAAACAACUCUAUUCAGAAGGUGAAAAUUUCCUUUUCUUCUUUUUGAUGGAAUUUCUUUUCAUUUCUCCCCUUUCUUUUCAUAGUUUUACAAACGGGCAGUUACACAGUUUAUUACAAAAUAUGUUGAGGCACAUGCCUAGAAGGUGUGUUGAAUGGCAUACUCCAUCUACUUGUGGCAUCUAUGCAUAUUAAGUUGUUAAAAGCAUGUUUGUCAAACUUAUAUGACAGUUUUAGCAAUUGUAAAAACGCAUAUUUGCUAUGCUAUGCUAGAAGAAGAGGAAGAAAAAGAAGAAGAGAAGUGAAAAAAGAGAGGAGAGAAGAGGAGAGGAGAGGAG
Molecule: long non-coding RNA, 7623 nt
Filed under: Gallus gallus (chicken)
Lineage: Eukaryota; Metazoa; Chordata; Aves; Galliformes; Phasianidae
Description: lncRNA (ENSGALG00010005054.1)
Source: RNAcentral